CAUUAGGCACAACACUAGUUAGCCCACGAUGCCUUGUUUAGCCACACCCCCAAGGGAACCCAGCAGUAAUUAACAUUAAGCAAUAAGUGAAAACUUGACUUAGUUAAAACCAAGAGGGCCGGUAAAUCUCGUGCCAGCCACCGCGGUUAUACGGGAGACCCAAGUUGACAAACGUCGGCGUAAAAUGUGGUUUAUACAGUAUUGCACUAAAGCUAAACUUCUUCAAGGCUGUUAUACGCAUUCGAAAGAAAGAGAAUCUUCAACGAAAGUGGCUUUAAACAUUAUGAACCCACGAAAGCUAGGAAACAAACUGGGAUUAGAUACCCCACUAUGCCUAGCCCUAAACUAAAGCAACCCCCUACUCAUGUUGCUUGCCAGGGAAUUACGAGCUUUAGCUUAAAACCCAAAGGACUUGGCGGUGCUUUAGACCCACCUAGAGGAGCCUGUUCUAUAACCGAUAGUCCCCGUUAAACCUCACCCUCUCUUGCCAUUCCC
RNAcentral lists this ribosomal RNA (495 nucleotides) under Tridentiger trigonocephalus. RNAcentral describes it as "partial 12S rRNA". It matches the Rfam family "Bacterial small subunit ribosomal RNA", at positions 281 to 991 of the family's 1533-position model. The record is from RNAcentral. Lineage: Eukaryota; Metazoa; Chordata; Actinopteri; Gobiiformes; Gobiidae.